GGAAAAUCAUCAUACUUGUUGUGCUGAGGUAUAGCUAAUGAACAGAGUAAAGCUGACCACUGCCCAGUGGAGCUCACACUAAGAUGGAAGAGACUGUAAAUCAGUCAUAGCAAGUGUUUGCUGGGUUGUAUACGAACAUGAAGGGAUCAGAGACGGGAGCAGACUUAACUGGUGAUCUGGAAAACAGUUUUUUGUUGUUCGUUUGUUACUUGAAGAGAUGCAAUAAGAGGCAAGGGUCAAAACAGCCAAUAUGUGAAUCAGUGAAGAGUUAUAUUGACUGGAAAGGUUUUGCUGUUCAGAGUAUGAACAUAGGCUCAUUUCUUUCCUUCACAAGAUAUAGGAUAUAGUAUGGUAUAUAUACUAUUUUUGUAGCUGAGUUGGAUUCAGCAAAUUUUAUAAGGUUUUAAAUCCCAGAGAAAGUCAGGUGAAAUGUACCACAAACAUUGCAAGUAAAAUGAAUGUGUUUAUCUGACAGUUAAGAGAAAUUAGAUCUUUUCCAUUCAUUUUGUUUUAACCCAGGCUGCAAAAACAGUUUUAGUUGUUUACAAGGGCCUCAAUUACAUGUAGUUUUAAGAUGAAAUGUUUUUGGAGUAUGUGAGUAUCUAGACAGAUUCCUAAGCAGGAGAAGGGACACAGGUGACAUGACAUUAAGAGAACUGGCACCUCUUAGGCCUCUGUUCCUGGUGUAACUGUCCAGGAUCAGAUUUCUUUUUGAAAGGUCUAUGCUUUAUUCUUAUAUUAAACCAACCUAGUGUGAAUUCUCUUAAUGUAUAAUUUAGAGCCAGGUGCAAUGGUGCACACCCGUAAUCUCAGCUACUGAGGCAGGAGAAUUGCAAUUUCUAGGCCAGCCUUGGUGAUUUAGUGAGAACUUGUCUCAAAAAAUGAAAAGAAGUGAGCACUGAGCUUUUUAGUUCAGUGUUGGUGUGGGAGGCCCCGGCAUCAAUCCCCAGUCAUGACGGGGGGAAAGUAUAAUUUUAGGAUACGUCUAUUACAGUGGUGUAAAUACUUUGAAUAAAAGAGGAAAUACUGGUAGACGGAUUUUACUUGUAUACUAAUUUUUUUUUCUUUUAAUGCUUCUUCAUUAGAGAUUUGAAAGAACAAAUCAUCGUUAUUCCACUUUGGAAAGCAAGGGAUGGCAACAUGGAAAAUCUAAAGAAAAAUUGUUAAAUGAACUGACUGUUAUUUAAUGUAAAUGUGGAGGAACAUAUUCUGCAAUCAAUUUGAGAAAAUUUCUAAGCCUCUUAAAGGUCACCCAAAGGACUUAAAAAGAGCAUACUACAGGGACACAGCCACAUCAGUGUUUAUAGCAGCACAAUUCACAAUAGCUCAACUGUGGAAUCAACCUAGAUGUCCUUCAGUAGAUGAAUGGAUUAAAAAAAUGUGGUAUAUAAACACAAUGGACUAUUACUCAGCAAUAAAAGAGAAUAAAAUCAUGGCAUUUGUAGGUAAAUGGAUGGAGUUAGAAAAGAUAAUGCCAACUUAAGUUAGCCAAUCUCCCCAAAAAACAAAUCCGAGUGUUUUCUCUGAUAUAAGGAGGCUGAUUCAUAGUGGGGUAGGGAGAGGGAGCAUGGGAGGAAUAGAGGAACUCUAGAU
Molecule: long non-coding RNA, 1593 nt
Filed under: Marmota monax (woodchuck)
Lineage: Eukaryota; Metazoa; Chordata; Mammalia; Rodentia; Sciuridae
Source: RNAcentral